UACGCCCAGGGUUUAAACUUAAAAAAACCCAAGAAACAAAAGACAAAAACUCAAACUUACAGAAAAGGUGCCAUUCGGAAGAUGCGAAGAAUCUGAAUCUUUUGAAAGUUAUUUGCCAAACUCAAGACCUACCGCCCACCGGCGCUUCCGUGUGCAUUUCUCCAGAGAAGGACAUCUUCUUACGUACGCACAACACAGCCGCUAAAAUCGAGAAAUGAACGAUGGUACAUUACCAUGGUCGAGUCGCAGCCGUUGGGGAGCGUGCUGGUGGGAGGUUCAGAACCAACAAUGCAGCCGUGGUACAGGCUCCGGGACCCCAGCGCAGGCCAGUUCGCGCCCCUGACCUCAGGGACCACGUCAUGUUUCAUCUCCCUGCCCUCCCUCCCCCUUCCCUCCCCAGCUUUCCCCGCACUGUAUAACCUAUUGCCUCUAGGCUUGAAAUACCUACUGUAAUUCCCAUUUCCUUGAGUGGAUCCUGCCUCACACACAGACUUCAAAGUCAAAGGGGCAAAGGUUUUACUGCAAACCUUGGCGAUAUGCGUGCGACCCUACAAAGUCCGGGGCCACGCGGUCAUUCCCAUCUGCCUCCCUGAUUGUCAUCAGGUGUGCCCGUGGAGAUCUCAAUUGUCCUCCUUCUCCGGGUGCAUUCGGCAAGGCUGCACUUGGUCACCCACUUUGAAGUCAGCAGUGACCUGUGACUCGCUUGGACAAGAGCUGAGCCACUUCAAAGAAGGAGCCUUGAGUCUGUGCGCAUCCACCAUAGUCCUUUUCCUCUCUUGGCCCUGGGGGAAACACGUGAGAAGGUGGGCUCCCCACCAGACUGGUUCCGAAGGGGCCACAGUAAAUACAGACACCCUAGCUGCGCACAGUGCCGAAGCACGAGCAAGGAAUAAGUACUGUUUCAAUCCCUUAGGCGUGGGAGCUGUUCGUUCCCAUGGCAGUGCCAAGGCUAAGUGAACCCACAUGCUGAGAAUGCAUUUGACAUUCCCCGAGGAUUGCUCACGCCCAGAGCGGCAGUAUGGACGGGGCUGUGGAAACCGCUUUCUUACACAAAUACGCGAUUUCUUCCUGCCCUUCCGACUUAGCUCCCCCAGGUGGACGUCUGGCACACGUCACAGGAUACCAACCUUCAUCCUGUUGAACCAUAAUGGCUUUUAUUAUGAGUCUUUCGUGACCUGCGACCCAGGUCCCACGAGAAAAGCCCAAGAGGAGAAUAAUCCCUCUCCCCACAACCCCGGCAGGGAAGACAAGAGCAGGUGAGUCAAGCUCGAGUCGUCAGCCGCUCUUACCCAAGACGCCGAAUCCCGAGGGAGGGUCACAAGCACAAGAGGGAAGGGGGAGGGGCAGCAGAAGGGGUCCCACCUGGACUGCCCUUGGAGGCGACCUUCGCCCCUCUCCCGCACCCCCCUAGGUUUCUGCUCCAUGAGCUUUUACUCCAACCUUCUCGCGGAUUUUAUCUGUGAUAUGCAUACAAAAUCCUCCCUUUCAACGCAUGAGGCAUAGACUUCCGCGAGUAGCGCCCGGGAACCCUGACCACAGCACAGAUUCACGAGCAUCGACUGUGAGGACCAUAUCCAGAGCCUGACAGCUUUCUCAGCACUUGAUAGACGCUGGGUGAACGUUAGCUUCUGCGUCAUCCUCACAUCCUUCUGCCUACAAGCCCUUUCCAGACGUCAAAUAAACAGGAAACCACUGGACA
This 1699-nucleotide long non-coding RNA is filed under the name Felis catus (domestic cat). RNAcentral describes it as "lncRNA (ENSFCAG00000051765.1)". The record is from RNAcentral. Lineage: Eukaryota; Metazoa; Chordata; Mammalia; Carnivora; Felidae.